This is a long non-coding RNA of Vicia villosa (hairy vetch), 465 nucleotides long. RefSeq lists it as uncharacterized. NCBI's taxonomy places the organism in Eukaryota, Viridiplantae, Streptophyta, Magnoliopsida, Fabales, Fabaceae. The record is from RefSeq and is a predicted model, not a curated record. The transcript is spliced from 3 exons.
CUCGAAAAUCGUCCCAGAAUUUGAAUCACCCUCUCGAAAAUUGGAAUUUCUCUCUUGAUCGUGUUUCCCCUCUCGAUUCCUCUCUCAUAACUUGCAAUUUUUCUCGUCUUUGCAUAGCAACAAAUUUCAAAUGAUCCUUCUGCAACAAGACCUCCAUGUCAUGGUUUUGUGGCUGACUAGAUUGUUAGAAGACUGGGAUGAAAAAAAGGUUGCUCAAGAAUACUAAUCAACUUCCCACACACUAUACAUCUAUCUAUCUCUGGUGGUGGUUGGCAAUGGAAAAUCUUAUUGAAUAACUAUAGCUGACAAUUCUACAUUACUGUCAUCGAAACACACAAUUACACAAGUAUUGAGUGAUUGCAUCAUUGUAUCAUGAAAGCUGAUGAAGAAAAGGUGGUGGAAGUUGUCACUCAAUCAAUGGAAAAGUCAUUGUUACUAUAGAAAAAGGGGAAAUAUACAACUAGU